This 600-nucleotide ribosomal RNA is filed under the name uncultured bacterium. Its description in RNAcentral is "bacterial SSU rRNA". It matches the Rfam family "Bacterial small subunit ribosomal RNA", at positions 779 to 1380 of the family's 1533-position model. The record is from RNAcentral.
UAGAUACCCUGGUAGUCCACGCCGUAAACGAUGUCGACUUGGAGGUUGUGCCCUUGAGGCGUGGCUUCCGGAGCUAACGCGUUAAGUCGACCGCCUGGGGAGUACGGCCGCAAGGUUAAAACUCAAAUGAAUUGACGGGGGCCCGCACAAGCGGUGGAGCAUGUGGUUUAAUUCGAUGCAACGCGAAGAACCUUACCUACUCUUGACAUCCAGAGAACUUUCCAGAGAUGGAUUGGUGCCUUCGGGAACUCUGAGACAGGUGCUGCAUGGCUGUCGUCAGCUCGUGUUGUGAAAUGUUGGGUUAAGUCCCGCAACGAGCGCAACCCUUAUCCUUUGUUGCCAGCGGUUCGGCCGGGAACUCAAAGGAGACUGCCAGUGAUAAACUGGAGGAAGGUGGGGAUGACGUCAAGUCAUCAUGGCCCUUACGAGUAGGGCUACACACGUGCUACAAUGGCAUAUACAAAGAGAAGCAAUACCGCGAGGUGGAGCCAAACUCAAAAACUGCUCUCAGUUCGGAUUGCAGGCUGAAACUCGCCUGCAUGAAGCUGGAGUUGCUAGUAAUCGCGAAUCAGCAUGUCGCGGUGAAUACGUUCCCGGGCC